CAGCGUGGAUGAGGCAUGCAAGUCGCACGAAAUAUUGAGCUUGCUUGAUAUUUAGUGGCGAAAGGGUUAGUAAUACUUGGGUAACUUACCCUUAACUUGGGAAUAACGGUUGGAAACGAUCGCUAAUACCGAAUGUGAAAAAGAAGAAGCAUUUCUACUUUUUUAAAGCUGGGGAUCGCAAGACCUAGUGGUUAAGGAGAGGCCCAUGGGAUAUCAGCUUGUUGGUGUGAUAAAAGCGCACCAAGGCUAAGACGUCUAGGCGGAUUGAGAGGUCGACCGCCAACACUGGGACUGAGACACUGCCCAGACUCCUACGGGAGGCUGCAGUCGAGAAUCUUUCACAAUGGGGGAAACCCUGAUGAAGCGACGCCGUGUGAGUGAAGAAGGCCUUCGGGUCGUAAAGCUCUUUCGCUUGGGAGCAAGAGAAGCGAGCUAAUACCUCGCUAAUUUGAUAGUACCAGGUAAAGAAGCACCGGCUAACUUCGUGCCAGCAGCUGCGGUAAUACGAAGGGUGCAAGCGUUAAUCGGAUUUAUUGGGCGUAAAGGGCGCGUAGGCGGAAAAGAAAGUCAAAUGUGAAAUCCCAGGGCUUAACCCUGGAACUGCAUUUGAAACUCCUUAUCUUGAGGGUAGACGGAGAAAGUGGAAUUCCACAUGUAGCGGUAAAAUGCGUAGAUAUGUGGAAGAAUACCGGUGGCGAAGGCGACUUUCUAGUUUAUUCCUGACGCUGAGGCGCGAAAGCAAGGGUAGCAAACAGGAUUAGAUACCCUGGUAGUCCUUGCCGUAAACGAUGUAUACUUGGCGUAGCUGGUCUCAACCCCAGCUGUGUCGGAGCUAACGUGUUAAGUAUACCGCCUGAGGAGUACGCUCGCAAGGGUGAAACUCAAAAGAAUUGACGGGGGCUCGCACAAGCAGUGGAGCAUGUGGUUUAAUUCGACGCAACGCGAAGAACCUUACCUGGUCUUGACAUGCAUCUCUAAGUUGGUGAAAGCCAGUGACUCUCGUAAGAGAGAAUUUGCACAGGUGCUGUAUGGCUGUCGUCAGCUCGUGUCGUGAGAUGUUGGGUUAAGUCCCGCAACGAGCGCAACCCCUGUGAACUGUUGCUAUUCUAACUUCGGUUAGAAGCACUCUGUUCAGACUGCCCUGUGAAACGGGGAGGAAGGUGGGGAUGACGUCAAGUCAGCAUGGCCCUUACGACCAGGGCUGCACACGUACUACAAUGCCCAGAACAAAAUGAACCAAGACCGCAAGGUGGAGGAAAUCGAUAAAUCUGGGCCCAGUUCGGAUUGAAGGCUGCAACUCGCCUUCAUGAAGUUGGAAUCGCUAGUAAUGGCACAUCAGCUACGGUGCCGUGAAUACGUUCCCGGGCCUUGUACACACCGCCCGUCACAUCAUGGAAGUCGCUUGUACCCGAAGUCGCUACGCUAACCCGCAAGGGAGGCAGGUGCCUAAGGUAUGGGUGGUAACUGGGAUGAAGUCGUAACAAGGUAGCC
RNAcentral lists this ribosomal RNA (1491 nucleotides) under uncultured Chlamydiales bacterium. RNAcentral describes it as "bacterial SSU rRNA". It matches the Rfam family "Bacterial small subunit ribosomal RNA". The record is from RNAcentral. Lineage: Bacteria; Pseudomonadati; Chlamydiota; Chlamydiia; Chlamydiales.